RNAcentral lists this ribosomal RNA (540 nucleotides) under uncultured fungus. RNAcentral's name for it is "eukaryotic LSU rRNA". The stretch from base 201 to 355 matches the Rfam family "5.8S ribosomal RNA". The record is from RNAcentral. Lineage: Eukaryota; Fungi.
AAGUCGUAACAAGGUCUCCGUAGGUGAACCUGCGGAGGGAUCAUUUACCGAGAGAGGGCGCCCGCGCGCCCGACCUCCCAACCCUCUGUCGACCGUACCGCGUUGCCUCGGGGCGCCUCGCGGCGUCGCGCCGAGGACACCACAUCGGAGCAACUCUGACACUGCGUCCUUGCGUCGGAGUCAUUGAAUCAAUCAAUCAAAACUUUCAACAACGGAUCUCUUGGUUCUGGCAUCGAUGAAGAACGCAGCGAAAAUGCGAUAAGUAAUGUGAAUUGCAGAAUUCAGUGAAUCAUCGAAUCUUUGAACGCACAUUGCGCCCCCUGGCAUUCCGGGGGGCAUGCCCGUUCGAGCGUCAUUACACCACUCAAGCCUGGCUUGGUAUUGGGCGUCGGGAUGCACCCGCGCCUCCUAUGUGUCCGGCUGGACGGUCUGAAUCUCAGCGUUGUGAAUCAAUUCGCUGGCGGGGACGACCGGACGCGCCGUUAAAACGUUUCAUCACAGGUUGACCUCGGAUCGGGUAGGGAUACCCGCUGAACUUAA